This 241-nucleotide ribosomal RNA is filed under the name uncultured eukaryote. RNAcentral describes it as "partial 18S ribosomal RNA". The stretch from base 87 to 241 matches the Rfam family "Eukaryotic small subunit ribosomal RNA", at positions 759 to 914 of the family's 1831-position model. The record is from RNAcentral.
UGUGUUACUGACUGGUCUGCUCUUCUUCGCAAAGACUGCGUGUGCUCUUUGUUCGAGUGUGCGUACGAUCUACCACCUCUACUCUCGAAAAAAUUACAGUGUUCAAAGCAGGCUAUUGCUUGAAUACAUGAGCAUGGAAUAAUGGAAUAGCGACUUUGGUCCCAUUUUGUUGGUUUCUAGGACCGAAGUAAUGAUUAAGAGGGACAAUUGGGGGCAUCCGUAUUUCCGUUGUCAGAGGUGA